This 27-nucleotide non-coding RNA is filed under the name Mus musculus (house mouse). Lineage: Eukaryota; Metazoa; Chordata; Mammalia; Rodentia; Muridae. The record is from RNAcentral.
UGAUUUCAAAUGAAAUGCCAGCUCUCC